GACGAACGCUGGCGGCGUGCUUAACACAUGCAAGUCGAACGGUGAAGCGCCUUCCUUUUUGGUGGGUGUGGAUGAGUGGCGAACGGGUGAGUAACACGUGAGUAACCUGCCCCCUUCUUCUGGAUAACCGCAUGAAAGUGUGGCUAAUACGGGAUAUUCUGGGUCUGUCGCAUGAUGGGUCUGGGAAAGAUAUUGUUUCGGUGGGGGAUGGGCUCGCGGCCUAUCAGCUUGUUGGUGGGGUGAUGGCCUACCAAGGCGGUGACGGGUAGCCGGCCUGAGAGGGUGGACGGUCACACUGGGACUGAGACACGGCCCAGACUCCUACGGGAGGCAGCAGUGGGGAAUAUUGCACAAUGGGCGCAAGCCUGAUGCAGCGACGCCGCGUGAGGGAUGGAGGCCUUCGGGUUGUGAACCUCUUUCGCCAGUGAAGCAGGACUGCCUCGUGUGUGGGUGGGUUGACGGUAGCUGGAGAAGAAGCGCCGGCUAACUACGUG
Molecule: ribosomal RNA, 494 nt
Filed under: uncultured bacterium
Lineage: Bacteria
Description: partial 16S ribosomal RNA
Rfam family: Bacterial small subunit ribosomal RNA
Source: RNAcentral